ACCCGCUGAACUUAAGCAUAUCAAUAAGCGGAGGAAAAGAAACCAACAGGGAUUGCCCCAGUAACGGCGAGUGAAGCGGCAAGAGCUCAAAUUUGAAAGCUGGCUCCUUCGGGGUCCGCAUUGUAAUUUGCAGAGGAUGCUUCGGGAGCGGUCCCCAUCUAAGUUCCCUGGAACGGGACGUCAUAGAGGGUGAAAAUCCCGUAUGUUAUGGGGUGUCCGCGCCCGUGUGAAGCUCCUUCGACGAGUCGAGUUGUCUGGGAAUGCAGCUCUAAAUGGGUGGUAAAUUUCAUCUAAAGCUAAAUAUUGGCCGGAGACCGAUAGCGCACAAGUAGAGUGAUCGAAAGAUGAAAAGCACUUUGAAAAGAGAGUUAAAAAGCACGUGAAAUUGUUGAAAGGGAAGCGCUUGCGACCAGACUCGCUCGCGGGGUUCAGCCGGCAUUCGUGCCGGUGUACUUCCCCGCGGGCGGGCCAACGUCGGUUUGGGCGGUCGGUCAAAGGCCCUCGGAAGAGUAACGCCCCCAGGGGCGUCUUAUAGCCGAGGGUGCAAUGCGACCUGCCUAGACCGAGGAACGCGCUUCGGCUCGGACGUUGGCAUAAUGGUCGUAAGCGACCCGUCUUGAAACACGG
This 627-nucleotide ribosomal RNA is filed under the name uncultured fungus. Its description in RNAcentral is "LSU rRNA". It matches the Rfam family "Eukaryotic large subunit ribosomal RNA", at positions 23 to 664 of the family's 3401-position model. The record is from RNAcentral. Lineage: Eukaryota; Fungi.